Molecule: ribosomal RNA, 239 nt
Filed under: Staphylococcus epidermidis
Lineage: Bacteria; Bacillati; Bacillota; Bacilli; Caryophanales; Staphylococcaceae
Description: partial 16S ribosomal RNA
Rfam family: Bacterial small subunit ribosomal RNA
Source: RNAcentral
UUUAUGGAGAGUUUGAUCCUGGCUCAGGAUGAACGCUGGCGGCGUGCCUAAUACAUGCAAGUCGAGCGAACAGACGAGGAGCUUGCUCCUCUGACGUUAGCGGCGGACGGGUGAGUAACACGUGGAUAACCUACCUAUAAGACUGGGAUAACUUCGGGAAACCGGAGCUAAUACCGGAUAAUAUAUUGAACCGCAUGGUUCAAUAGUGAAAGACGGUUUUGCUGUCACUUAUAGAUGGA